This 565-nucleotide long non-coding RNA is filed under the name Setaria viridis. Its description in RNAcentral is "long non-coding RNA (SVIR_LNC004257)". Lineage: Eukaryota; Viridiplantae; Streptophyta; Magnoliopsida; Poales; Poaceae. The record is from RNAcentral.
AUGGUACAAAAAGAAUAACGAAUACGACUCGAUGAAACCGCCGCUCAAAUCUCCAAGAGAAAGCUACGCAUAUGCAGUAUGUAUAAGCAUGGCACACAUGCUUCUACUGCAUAAUCUUCGCCACGAGCAGGGAUACCAGCGCGGACGACACCACGGCCACGGCGGACGCCGCCGGAGCGGAGGCCGCCCCGGCGAUCGGAGAGGGCGCGGGCGCGGACGACGGCGCCGUGGUGAACUCCUGCGCCGACGCGGAGGCGACGAGCACGGCCGCGGCGAGGAGCAGCACGGAGGCGAAGCGUGAAGCCAUCUCGGGACGAUCGACUUGCUGGAAGGCUUUGAACUUGCUUGCUAGCUCUCGAAGACUCUGCUGCGGCGGUGGCGGUGGCGGUGGCGGUGUGCGUGUACUCUGCUGCGGAUUGCGAUGCUGCGAUGGGGGGAGGAGGUUUAUAUAGGCCGCCCAAGCGGAGGGCUGCGCCGUGGGAUCGGCGGGUCGCAGUCGUGGGUUUAAUUUCUCUCCGUGUCCGCGCGCGUCUGCGUUCCUUCCGCGGGGGGCACGGCACGGCAC